AAGAAAGUGGCAGACCGGUGAUGCGGCUGACUUGAAAUCCGCUUAUGGGGGUUCGAUUCCCUCCUUUCUCG
This 71-nucleotide transfer RNA is filed under the name Asterorhombus intermedius (intermediate flounder). RNAcentral's name for it is "tRNA-Ser". It matches the Rfam family "tRNA". From Rfam's summary of the family: Transfer RNA (tRNA) molecules are approximately 80 nucleotides in length. Their secondary structure includes four short double-helical elements and three loops (D, anti-codon, and T loops). Further hydrogen bonds mediate the characteristic L-shaped molecular structure. tRNAs have two regions of fundamental functional importance: the anti-codon, which is responsible for specific mRNA codon recognition, and the 3' end, to which the tRNAs corresponding amino acid is attached (by aminoacyl-tRNA synthetases). tRNAs cope with the degeneracy of the genetic code in two manners: having more than one tRNA (with a specific anti-codon) for a particular amino acid; and 'wobble' base-pairing, i.e. permitting non-standard base-pairing at the 3rd anti-codon position. Lineage: Eukaryota; Metazoa; Chordata; Actinopteri; Pleuronectiformes; Bothidae. The record is from RNAcentral.